This is a long non-coding RNA of Mercenaria mercenaria, 643 nucleotides long. RefSeq lists it as uncharacterized. The transcript has 4 exons. NCBI's taxonomy places the organism in Eukaryota, Metazoa, Mollusca, Bivalvia, Venerida, Veneridae. The record is from RefSeq and is a predicted model, not a curated record.
GUGCUCGUUACCAGGCAAUAUUAUAGGUGGCGCCGCUGUCAACAUGUGCAUGUGAAAACGAAAGUAGAUUGUUUAUCUAGGAAUUUUUACAACAUUUUACCCUUCUACAUUGAAUUUUUAAGAUAUAAUAGUAUGAAUAUAGAGAUGAUUAUUUAGUUACCUUCAACUGGUCAGUGGUCAAAAGGAGUAUUUCUGUAUGUCUUGAAGCAUUGAAUGUCCCCAAACAACCAGUGUGAUAAGAAGGUAUACUAUCUAGGUUGAAAACAGCCAUGGACAAUGAAUUUGGAGGUGCAUGCUGGAGCAUCAGAAAUUACAUACUUUGAAUAAAUAAUUGCACAAUACACAUUUACUGAGAAGUGACUAAUGUUUUUGUUAAAGUGCAAUAUCCAUGUUUGUAACAUUUACAUGGGGGUAAUAGUUACAGUGUUGAAAGAGACUACCAGUGUUACAUUUCAAUCUAAGUUACAGUGUGGAUGCUAAUUCUAAAUUCUUGAUAAUCAAGUGUUUUUAAUAACUUAUGAAUACUAAUUAUUUAUCAAACUGUUUAAUUUAUCAGAUUCCUACAUCAUUAUUUUAUAUAAAAUGCUUGUAGUUAUAUAAUAUAUGUCAGGUUAGAUGGUAAUAAAUUUUGUUUCUUUGUAAA